AUUGAACGCUGGCGGCAUGCCUUACACAUGCAAGUCGAACGGCAGCACGGGUGCUUGCACCUGGUGGCGAGUGGCGAACGGGUGAGUAAUACAUCGGAACAUGUCCUGUAGUGGGGGAUAGCCCGGCGAAAGCCGGAUUAAUACCGCAUACGAUCUACGGAUGAAAGCGGGGGACCUUCGGGCCUCGCGCUAUGGGGUUGGCCGAUGGCUGAUUAGCUAGUUGGUGGGGUAAAGGCCUACCAAGGCGACGAUCAGUAGCUGGUCUGAGAGGACGACCAGCCACACUGGGACUGAGACACGGCCCAGACUCCUACGGGAGGCAGCAGUGGGGAAUUUUGGACAAAGGGCGAAAGCCUGAUCCAGCAAUGCCGCGUGUGUGAAGAAGGCCUUCGGGUUGUAAAGCACUUUUGUCCGGAAAGAAAUCCUUGGCCCUAAUACGGUCGGGGGAUGACGGUACCGGAAGAAUAAGCACCGGCUAACUACGUG
RNAcentral lists this ribosomal RNA (486 nucleotides) under uncultured bacterium. Its description in RNAcentral is "partial 16S ribosomal RNA". It matches the Rfam family "Bacterial small subunit ribosomal RNA", at positions 30 to 507 of the family's 1533-position model. The record is from RNAcentral.